Molecule: ribosomal RNA, 534 nt
Rfam family: Bacterial large subunit ribosomal RNA
GCCUGCCCAGUGACCAUGUGUUCAACGGCCGCGGUAUUCUGACCGCGCGAAGGUAGCGUAAUCACUUGUUUUUUAAAUAAAGACUAGUAUGAACGGCCGCACGAGGACCUAACUGUCUCCUUUGUCCAAUCAGUGAAACUGAUCUCCUCGUGCAGAAGCGAGGAUCUUAUCAUAAGACGAGAAGACCCUAUGGAGCUUUAAACUUUUAUUAAUUAUUUUCUUCACCCCUCUAAGGAGCCAACAACUAAUUUAAUUUUUUUAUAAAAGUUUUGGGUUGGGGCGACCAUGGAGGAAAAAAAAUCCUCCCUGAUGACACCUAACUAAGAGCCACAGCUCCAAGUAUUAAGACACUUAACUCCUAUUGACCCAUUUUAUGAUCAACGAACCAAGUUACCCUAGGGAUAACAGCGCAAUCCAUUUCAAGAGUCCUUAUCGACAAAUGGGUUUACGACCUCGAUGUUGGAUCAGGGCAUCCAAGUGGUGCAACCGCUACUAAAGGUUCGUUUGUUCAACGAUUAAAGCCCUACGUGAUCU